CCCUUACGUGGCAGCAGUGCAUUGGAUGGGUCAUUUGAGACGAAAGGUCUCGUGGCCGGUUGGUUUCAUUUUUUUUUUCAUCUUUGAUGUCAUCACAUCUCUUCCUCCUCUCUCUCUGUGGAAAUCUUCUUGAUGUUGUUCGAUCCGUAUGUUCGUCUUCUUUCCCAUCAGCGAGGAAACCACGUCGUCUCCGACAGAUAUCAUAGAGAUCUUUGGGCGAUUGCGGAAGGGAAGGACAUGAAGCUUUACCCACGAACGAUCGUGGAGGCGAAGGCGAUGCGAACGAUCUGAAGCCAGCAUCGGAACCAGUGGACUGGGAACAGAAAGGAACAGAGAUACCGUCGUGGAGGCGAAGGCGCCAUUCAUCUCCGGAAUCGGAUCGAGAAGCCUCACCGCCUCGAUCUCCAUGGAAACGAUCUUUGAUACGAUUCUUUGUGGUGAAAAUUCGACGGAUCCAGAGCUGAAGUCGGGUGUGGAGUAGGUUACUCCGACCUUCGCGGCGGAGAUCGUCGGCGGCGCCAUCAGUACCACCACCGUUACAGCGAUAACAAUGAUUGGAGCUGCGUGGGAGACUGUAAAUGAGAAGAGACAUAAAGAAGACAAAGGUCUUGCAGGGAGCAGCACGAUACAGAGGGCACACAUAGAUGUCAAACCAUCGAUCUUUAAGUUCAGAGGUAAGUAGAGACAAUCCUUUAAUAGUGUUAGACAUUGUUUAGAUUGGAAUUAAAUGGUCUUUAGGAGUAGAUACAUUGAUUGGCCUUGUUUACGUUAGAAUGAAAUGAACUUUUGAGGUGUUUUGGUUGUUUUAUAAUUAGGUAGAUACAUUGAUGAUUUGAUGGGCAUUUACACAUAACAAAUCCCAUACUCUCAUUAAGUUUGCUUUAAAACCCAACCAACUAUCCCUUUCUAAAUUCAUAUUUCUUUCAUCUCCAUCAAAUUCAAUAUCUCU
This is a long non-coding RNA of Brassica rapa (field mustard), 949 nucleotides long. RefSeq lists it as uncharacterized. Lineage: Eukaryota; Viridiplantae; Streptophyta; Magnoliopsida; Brassicales; Brassicaceae. The record is from RefSeq and is a predicted model, not a curated record.